RNAcentral lists this ribosomal RNA (605 nucleotides) under Salmonella enterica. RNAcentral describes it as "partial 23S ribosomal RNA". It matches the Rfam family "Bacterial large subunit ribosomal RNA", at positions 583 to 1190 of the family's 2925-position model. The record is from RNAcentral. RNAcentral also lists the same sequence under 1 other name. Lineage: Bacteria; Pseudomonadati; Pseudomonadota; Gammaproteobacteria; Enterobacterales; Enterobacteriaceae.
CUUCGGGGUGUGACUGCGUACCUUUUGUAUAAUGGGUCAGCGACUUAUAUUCUGUAGCAAGGUUAACCGAAUAGGGGAGCCGGAGGGAAACCGAGUCUUAACCGGGCGUUAAGUUGCAGGGUAUAGACCCGAAACCCGGUGAUCUAGCCAUGGGCAGGUUGAAGGUUGGGUAACACUAACUGGAGGACCGAACCGACUAAUGUUGAAAAAUUAGCGGAUGACCUGUGGCUGGGGGUGAAAGGCCAAUCAAACCGGGAGAUAGCUGGUUCUCCCCGAAAGCUAUUUAGGUAGCGCCUCGUGAAUUCAUCUCCGGGGGUAGAGCACUGUUUCGGCUAGGGGGCCAUCCCGGCUUACCAACCCGAUGCAAACUGCGAAUACCGGAGAAUGUUAUCACGGGAGACACACGGCGGGUGCUAACGUCCGUCGUGAAGAGGGAAACAACCCAGACCGCCAGCUAAGGUCCCAAAGUCAUGGUUAAGUGGGAAACGAUGUGGGAAGGCCCAGACAGCCAGGAUGUUGGCUUAGAAGCAGCCAUCAUUUAAAGAAAGCGUAAUAGCUCACUGGUCGAGUCGGCCUGCGCGGAAGAUGUAACGGGGCUAAACCAU